CGCCGCCUGCUCGUCCGCCUCUAUAAGAUGAGACCUGCCCACCGCCAUGGCGCCAUCCCCUCCGUCUCUGACCCGCCUACCCAUCCCCACCAUUUGCCGCCCAAUCCGCCCCGCCGCGCUCCGCCUUGCCUCGACUCGAAUUCUUACCAACCGUUUGUGGCUUGAAUUUGAAUUCCAGCUCGAAUCACUCAGGCGGCCAGCCGGGAGCGAGAGCGAGCUGGAGGAGCUCGAUUCGAUGCGUUGCUGAGCGUGGGUCAAUCGAUUCGGGUCGGGCGGUGGCGCAGUCCGAGAGAUCUGAACCCUAGCGGCCGUCUGCCCGUCCGGAUCUGUGACCAGCCCUGCUCGGUGCUUCGGCGGCAUGAGUGCCUGGAAGGCGUGGGGAGGAGAAGCGGCGGAGAUAUGAGCGGAGGAGGCAGCGGCAGCGGGGACGAGUUCGGGCGGGCGGUGGCACGCGCCGCGGUUGCGCAGGCGCUGGAGGCCGCGGGGUUCGACUGCGCGCACCGCUCCGCGGUGGACGCGGUCGUCGACGUCCUCUUGCGCUACAUCACCCACCUGGGCCGGUCCGCCGCCUUCAACGCCAACCUCGCCGGCCGCGCGCUCGCCAACGAACUCGACGUCAUCCAGGUGCUCGAGGAGGUCGGCGCCGACACGGACGGCUUCGCGGGCGCGGCGGACACGGGCCGCUGCCUCGUUGGUUCCGGCGUCGUCAGGGACCUCAUGGCGUUCGUCGACUCCAAGGACGAGGUGCCGUUCGCGCGGCCGCUGCCUAGGUUCCCCGUCCAGCGCGUGCAGCCGCAGCCCUCUGCCAGCCCGGCUGCGGCGGCGGCGGGGAGGGAGACUGGGUUGAAGCACGUGCCGGAGUGGCUGCCUGCGUUCCCGGAUCCGCACACCUAUGUGAGCACGGAGGUGUGGGAUGAGCCUUCGGCGACCAAGGACAGGGUGGACAAGGUGGAGCAGGUGCGGCAACGGAGGAAGGCCGAGAAAUCCCUGCUCAGCUUGCAGCGAAGGCUGGCUAUGGCAGGCGCGGAUGGGUUUCAUCCAGCGGUUGCAUUGGCGGAGGAUAGCGCAGAGAAGGGGAAGGAGAUACAGGCAGCUGGGACAAAGAGAAACCCGUUUCUUGAGCCAGCAUUGCCGCCUGGGGAGAAGGAUGUAUCUGAGGUUGGUAUGCCUCCGGAAAAGAAGAAACUAUCUGUCCUCGAGGCAUUUGCGCCAGCUAUGCAAUCUAGAACCAUCGUCAGGGAUGUUGAUGCUGGGGCAGGAUUGGAUGAAAACCAAAGGAGCAUUGUUCCCAAAGAGAGGGCUCCGGUGCACCUUAAGAUUGGAUUUGGAAAGAAGCCGUUGGCAGCAGCUCUGAAUUCAAGAACCCUGGACCUGAGAGAAGAUCCAUCCUUCUUGAAAGAGGAAGCAAAGGAUGACAAGAAGCGGAGAGCAGGCAUGAUAUUAAGGGCAUCAAUGGAGAACCCACAAGAGCUUCCUCAGCUCUAAAGUUGUUUGCGGAGGAAGUGCCGUACCCAGAGUGGAGUUGCAUCAUGGUGUAAUUGUGGAACUUCAGUUUCCAGAAUCUUGAGGCCAUGUUCCCUGAUACAACCUUCUCAGGAUCACCAUGCCCUGAUACAACCUGCACCGGACUCUCCUGCCUCCACCUACCGUUUUCCUAAAACACCAUGCGCUGAUAGAUUCUGCAGCACUGUAACUGAAGUUGGAAGUUCCACCAUCUCACUGCGUUGAAGUUGGUGGUUGUGCUGGUAUUUCACCUUUAACUGUAAGGACUAAUUUGGGAACCCAAUUUUUCCACUGGAUUUUCAUUUUCCUAAGGAAAAUUAGUUCAUUUUCCCU
Molecule: RNA transcript, 1836 nt
Organism: Zea mays
Lineage: Eukaryota; Viridiplantae; Streptophyta; Magnoliopsida; Poales; Poaceae
Gene name: transcription initiation factor pseudogene
Exons: 2
Source: RefSeq, marked validated